RNAcentral lists this ribosomal RNA (502 nucleotides) under uncultured bacterium. RNAcentral describes it as "partial 16S ribosomal RNA". It matches the Rfam family "Bacterial small subunit ribosomal RNA", at positions 899 to 1397 of the family's 1533-position model. The record is from RNAcentral.
ACUCAAAUGAAUUGACGGGGACCCGCACAAGCGGUGGAGCAUGUGGAUUAAUUCGAUACUAACCGAAGAACCUUACCCACUCUUGACAUUGAAGGAAAGCUCUAGAGAUAGGGCCCUCUCCCACAAGGAGACCUGAAAACAGAUGUUGCAUGGCUGUCGUCAGCUCGUGCCGUGAGGUGUACGGUUAAGUCCGCCAACGAGCGCAACCCUCGUUCUGUGUUACCAGCGAGUAAUGUCGGGCACUCACAGGAGACCGCCGGUGUAAGCCGGAGGAAGGUGGGGAUGAUGUCAAGUCAGCAUGGCUCUUACGAGUGGGGCUUCACACAUGCUACAAUGGGCGCAACAAAGGGCAGCAAAACCGCGAGGUGGAGCAAAUCCCAAAAAUACGUCCUCAGUUCAGAUUGCAGUCUGCAACUCGACUGCAUGAAGGCGGAAUCGCUAGUAAACGCAGGUCAGCUAUACUGCGUUGAAUACGUUCCCGGGUCUUGUACACACCGCCCGU